CUAAAAGCCAACCGAGUCGUCUUUCGGGGCGGCUCGCUUAGCGAUGACUCCGAAUAACUAUUGCAGAUCGCAGUGGCCAUCAAGUGCCGGCGACAUAUCUUUCAAAUGUCUGCCCUAUCAACUUUCGAUGGUAGUCGAUAUGACUACCACGGUCGUAACGGGUAACGGGGAAUCAGGGUUCGAUUCCGGAGAGGGAGCCUGAGAAACGGCUGCUACACCUACGGGGGGCAGCAGGCGCGCAAAUUACCCACUCCCGGCACGGGGAGGUAGUGACGAAAAAUAACGGCUCCGGCUCUAUCUAGGGUCGGUGAUCGCAAUGAGAACAGUGUAAAUACUUUAACGAGUAUCGAAUAGAGGGCAAGUCUGGUGCCAGCAGCCGCGGUAAUUCCAGCUCUAUUAGCGUAUAUUAAAGUUGUUGCGUUUAAAAAGCUCGUAGUUGGAUCUCAGAUGUGUCUUAUUGCUAUCAAUUUUACUAAUUGAUUUAGUAAUAGGCACUCUCUUAUGAUCGUUUUCUCCAAUUAUAGUGUCUUUAAUUAGAUGCUAUAAUUGGGCGAUCGUUUUACUUUGAAGAAAAUA
RNAcentral lists this ribosomal RNA (576 nucleotides) under uncultured eukaryote. RNAcentral describes it as "bacterial SSU rRNA". It matches the Rfam family "Eukaryotic small subunit ribosomal RNA", at positions 215 to 768 of the family's 1831-position model. The record is from RNAcentral.